CACGCUGUAAACGGUGGGCACUAGGUGUGGGAUCCUUUCCAUGGGUUCUGUGCCGUAGCUAACGCAUUAAGUGCCCCGCCUGGGGAGUACGGCCGCAAGGCUAAAACUCAAAGGAAUUGA
RNAcentral lists this ribosomal RNA (120 nucleotides) under uncultured bacterium. RNAcentral describes it as "partial 16S ribosomal RNA". It matches the Rfam family "Bacterial small subunit ribosomal RNA", at positions 796 to 913 of the family's 1533-position model. The record is from RNAcentral.